GAUGAACGCUGGCGGCGUGCCUAAUACAUGCAAGUCGAGCGAACAGACGAGGAGCUUGCUCCUCUGACGUUAGCGGCGGACGGGUGAGUAACACGUGGAUAACCUACCUAUAAGACUGGGAUAACUUCGGGAAACCGGAGCUAAUACCGGAUAAUAUAUUGAACCGCAUGGUUCAAUAGUGAAAGACGGUUUUGCUGUCACUUAUAGAUGGAUCCGCGCCGCAUUAGCUAGUUGGUAAGGUAACGGCUUACCAAGGCAACGAUGCGUAGCCGACCUGAGAGGGUGAGAGGCCAAACUGGAACUGAGACACGGUCCAGACUCCUACGGGAGGAAGCAGUAGGGAAUCUUCCGCAAUGGGCGAAAGCCUGACGGAGCAACGCCGCGUGAGUGAUGAAGGUAUUCGGAUCGUAAAACUCUGUUAUUAGGGAAGAACAAAUGUGUAAGUAACUAUGCACGUCUUGACGGUACCUAAUCAGAAAGACACGGCUAACUACGUG
Molecule: ribosomal RNA, 497 nt
Filed under: uncultured bacterium
Lineage: Bacteria
Description: partial 16S ribosomal RNA
Rfam family: Bacterial small subunit ribosomal RNA
Source: RNAcentral